Molecule: non-coding RNA, 382 nt
Organism: Pimephales promelas (fathead minnow)
Lineage: Eukaryota; Metazoa; Chordata; Actinopteri; Cypriniformes; Leuciscidae
Source: RefSeq, a predicted model, not a curated record
CUCUGCAUUCCGGAAGAGACAUCAUUGCUCCUCUUUGGACUCGCCUGGACAAUAGACGUGGAGGAACUAUCUCCUAUAGGCAGGAGACAAGCAGUGCUGCACUGACACAAGUCACAGCAGCUGUUAAGCGAUACUUCCCUAACAUACCCUUUGCUGCUACUUCAGCUUUUGUCGCUACAUGGGACAGUGUGCCAUACUCUAAUGGUGGAGGGGUGGCCUCUUUCCAAGUGGUUUUAGCCUACAAUGUCCAUCGCUCUUUCAUCCUGAUCUAUUAUGGAGAUGUUGCAGAAACAGGACAACCAUGGCAGGCUGGCUAUUACACUGUGGACUCUAUCAGUUCUUUCACAAUUCCAGCAUCCAGUGUCCCAGAACUCUCGUCGAG